UAAUACGGAGGUGGCAAGCGUUACUCGGAAUCAUUGGGUGUAAAGGGCAAGUAGGCGGCUUAGUAAGUGAGGGGUGAAAUUCAUUGACUCAAUCGGUGAACUGCCUUUCAAACUGCUAGGCUUGAGGAUGACAGGAGAAAAUGGAAUUCUCGGUGUAAGGGUGAAAUCUGUAGAUAUCGAGAAGAACACCAGCGGCGAAGGCGAUUUUCUAGGUCAAUCCUGACGCUAAAUUGCGAAAGCUAGGGGAGCAAACAGAAUUAGAUACUCUGGUAGUCCUAGCCGUAAACGAUGAGCACUAGGUGUUGGUUCCGUAAAGGAAUCAGUGCCGCAGCUAACGCAUUAAGUGCUCCACCUGGGGACUACGGUCGCAAGGCUA
RNAcentral lists this ribosomal RNA (376 nucleotides) under uncultured bacterium. Its description in RNAcentral is "bacterial SSU rRNA". It matches the Rfam family "Bacterial small subunit ribosomal RNA", at positions 521 to 896 of the family's 1533-position model. The record is from RNAcentral.